RNAcentral lists this ribosomal RNA (274 nucleotides) under uncultured bacterium. Its description in RNAcentral is "partial 16S ribosomal RNA". It matches the Rfam family "Bacterial small subunit ribosomal RNA", at positions 523 to 796 of the family's 1533-position model. The record is from RNAcentral.
AUACGAAAGGUGCAAGCGUUGUUCGGAUUUACUGGGCGUAAAGAGAGUGUAGGUGGUUUAUUAAGUCGGAUGUGAAAUCCCGGGGCUCAACCUCGGAACUGCAUUCGAUACUGAUAGGCUAGAGUUUGGGAGGGGUAUGCGGAAUUCCGUGUGUAGCAGUGAAAUGCGUAGAUAUACGGAGGAACACCUGAGGCGAAGGCGGCUUACUGGACCAAUACUGACACUGAGACUCGAAAGCGUGGGUAGCAAACAGGAAUAGAAACCCUAGUAGUCC